AGUGAACGCUGGCGGCAUGCCUAAUACAUGCAAGUCGAGCGAAAACACGGUAAGCUUGUGCUUCUACCGGUGGCGAGUGACGGACGGGUAACGAAUACAUCGCAUACUUCUAUUUCGUGGGUGACAUCGUAGAGAAACUGACGCUAAUAGCGCAUACGUCCUACGGGUUAAAUCAAGAGUUCUUCGCAGUUUGCGUGUCUGUAUGAGCUGAUGCCGCGUCGGAUUAGCUAGUUGGUAAGGUAACGGCUUACCAAGGCAACGAUGCGUAGCUGAGCUGAGAGGAUGAUCGGCCACACUGGAACUGAGACACGGUCCAGACUCCUACGGGAGGCAGCAGUAGGGAAUCUUCCGCAAAGGGCGAAAGCCUGAUCGAGCCAUGCCGCGUGAGUGAAGAAGGCCUUCGGGUUGUAAAGCCCUUUUAUUAGGGAAGAAAAACUGUAUAUUUAUCUCCGGCUGUCCUGACGGUACCUAAACAGAAAGCCCCGGCUAACUUCGUG
Molecule: ribosomal RNA, 497 nt
Filed under: uncultured bacterium
Lineage: Bacteria
Description: partial 16S ribosomal RNA
Rfam family: Bacterial small subunit ribosomal RNA
Source: RNAcentral